GUGCCAGCCGCCGCGGUAAUACCGGCAGCCCAAGUGAUGGCCGCUGUUAUUGGGCCUAAAGCGUCCGUAGCUGGCCGCACAAGUCCGUCGGGAAAUCCGCCCGCUCAACGGGCGGCCGUCCGGCGGAACCUGUGUGGCUUGGGGCCGGAGGACUCGAGGGGUACGUCUGGGGUAGGAGUGAAAUCCCGUAAUCCUGGACGGACCGCCGAUGGCGAAAGCACCUCGAGAGGACGGACCCGACAGUGAGGGACGAAAGCCAGGGUCUCGAACCGGAUUAGAUACCCCUGUAGUCC
This 293-nucleotide ribosomal RNA is filed under the name uncultured bacterium. RNAcentral's name for it is "partial 16S ribosomal RNA". It matches the Rfam family "Archaeal small subunit ribosomal RNA", at positions 455 to 747 of the family's 1478-position model. The record is from RNAcentral.